GGCUCCUAGGCGACGACGGGUAGCCGGCCUGAGAGGGCGACCGGCCACACUGGGACUGAGACACGGCCCAGACUCCUACGGGAGGCAGCAGUGGGGAAUAUUGCACAAUGGGCGAAAGCCUGAUGCAGCGACGCCGCGUGAGGGAUGACGGCCUUCGGGUUGUAAACCUCUUUCAGCAGGGAAGAAGCGAAAGUGACGGUACCUGCAGAAGAAGCGCCGGCUAACUACGUGCCACGCCCC
This 240-nucleotide ribosomal RNA is filed under the name Streptomyces scabiei. Its description in RNAcentral is "partial 16S ribosomal RNA". It matches the Rfam family "Bacterial small subunit ribosomal RNA", at positions 264 to 516 of the family's 1533-position model. Lineage: Bacteria; Bacillati; Actinomycetota; Actinomycetes; Kitasatosporales; Streptomycetaceae. The record is from RNAcentral.